RNAcentral lists this ribosomal RNA (497 nucleotides) under uncultured bacterium. RNAcentral's name for it is "partial 16S ribosomal RNA". It matches the Rfam family "Bacterial small subunit ribosomal RNA", at positions 28 to 507 of the family's 1533-position model. The record is from RNAcentral.
GAUGAACGCUGGCGGCGUGCCUAAUACAUGCAAGUCGAGCGAACGGACGAGAAGCUUGCUUCUCUGAUGUUAGCGGCGGACGGGUGAGUAACGCGUGGAUAACCUACCUAUAAGACUGGGAUAACUUCGGGAAACCGGAGCUAAUACCGGAUAAUAUUUUGAACCGCAUGGUUCAAAAGUGAAAGACGGUCUUGCUGUCACUUAUAGAUGGAUCCGCGCUGCAUUAGCUAGUUGGUAAGGUAACGGCUUACCAAGGCAACGAUGCAUAGCCGACCUGAGAGGGUGAUCGGCCACACUGGAACUGAGACACGGUCCAGACUCCUACGGGAGGCAGCAGUAGGGAAUCUUGCGCAAUGGGCGAAAGCCUGACGGAGCAACGCCGCGUGAGUGAUGAAGGUCUUCGGAUCGUAAAACUCUGUUAGUAGGGAAGAACAUAUGUGUAAGUAACUGUGCACAUCUUGACGGUACCUAAUCAGAAAGCCACGGCUAACUACGUG